CGGACGUCUUGUUCAGAAAGUCGAGAUCCAAUUCAGGGAACCUCCCAGCCACCUUCUCUUGACAGAGUUCGAAACCCUAGAUGAAGGCGUCUUGGCCAAACUGGACCUUUAGAUCCUCCAUCUCGGAGGAGGCUUUGAACUCCUCCACCACUCGGGCCCCUGCCUCCAAAAUCAGGGACAGAAUCCGUGCUUUCAGCUUGGAAGCCUGCAUCUUCAGCUUGGAAACCUACACCCACAGUCUGGAGAUUUUGGCCUCGGCCUUCCCUCUCUUCUCCUCCAAGGUGGUCCU
This 289-nucleotide long non-coding RNA is filed under the name Elaeis guineensis (African oil palm). RNAcentral describes it as "long non-coding RNA (EGUI_LNC055698)". Lineage: Eukaryota; Viridiplantae; Streptophyta; Magnoliopsida; Arecales; Arecaceae. The record is from RNAcentral.